AUGAACGCUGGCGGCGUGCCUAAUACAUGCAAGUCGAGCGAACGGACGAGAAGCUUGCUUCUCUGAUGUUAGCGGCGGACGGGUGAGUAACACGUGGAUAACCUACCUAUAAGACUGGGAUAACUUCGGGAAACCGUAGCUAAUACCGGAUAAUAUUUUGAACCGCAUGGUUCAAAAGUGAAAGACGGUCUUGCUGUCACUUAUAGAUGGAUCCGCGCUGCAUUAGCUAGUUGGUAAGGUAACGGCUUACCAAGGCAACGAUGCAUAGCCGACCUGAGAGGGUGAUCGGCCACACUGGAACUGAGACACGGUCCAGACUCCUACGGGAGGCAGCAGUAGGGAAUCUUCCGCAAUGGGCGAAAGCCUGACGGAGCAACGCCGCGUGAGUGAUGAAGGUCUUCGGAUCGUAAAACUCUGUUAUUAGGGAAGAACAUAUGUGUAAGUAACUGCGCACAUCUUGACGGUACCUAAUCAGAAAGCCACGGCUAACUACGUG
RNAcentral lists this ribosomal RNA (496 nucleotides) under uncultured bacterium. RNAcentral's name for it is "partial 16S ribosomal RNA". It matches the Rfam family "Bacterial small subunit ribosomal RNA", at positions 29 to 507 of the family's 1533-position model. The record is from RNAcentral.